GACGAACGCUGGCGGCGUGCUUAACACAUGCAAGUCGAACGGUGAAGCGCCUUCCUUUUUGGUGGGUGUGGAUGAGUGGCGAACGGGUGAGUAACACGUGAGUAACCUGCCCCCUUCUUCUGGAUAACCGCAUGAAAGUGUGGCUAAUACGGGAUAUUCUGGGUCUGUCGCAUGAUGGGUCUGGGAAAGAUAUUGUUUCGGUGGGGGAUGGGCUCGCGGCCUAUCAGCUUGUUGGUGGGGUGAUGGCCUACCAAGGCGGUGACGGGUAGCCGGCCUGAGAGGGUCGACGGUCACACUGGGGCUGAGACACGGCCCAGACUCCUACGGGAGGCAGCAGUGGGGAAUAUUGCACAAUGGGCGCAAGCCUGAUGCAGCGACGCCGCGUGAGGGAUGGAGGCCUUCGGGUUGUGAACCUCUUUCGCCAGUGAAGCAGGCCUGCCUCGUUUGUGGGUGGGUUGACGGUAGCUGGAUAAGAAGCGCCGGCUAACUACGUG
RNAcentral lists this ribosomal RNA (494 nucleotides) under uncultured bacterium. RNAcentral describes it as "partial 16S ribosomal RNA". It matches the Rfam family "Bacterial small subunit ribosomal RNA", at positions 28 to 507 of the family's 1533-position model. The record is from RNAcentral.